RNAcentral lists this ribosomal RNA (705 nucleotides) under Listeria monocytogenes. Its description in RNAcentral is "partial 23S ribosomal RNA". It matches the Rfam family "Bacterial large subunit ribosomal RNA", at positions 724 to 1427 of the family's 2925-position model. Lineage: Bacteria; Bacillati; Bacillota; Bacilli; Caryophanales; Listeriaceae. The record is from RNAcentral.
GGUGAUCUACCCAUGUCCAGGAUGAAGGUAAGGUAAUACUUACUGGAGGUCCGAACCCACGCACGUUGAAAAGUGCGGGGAUGAGGUGUGGGUAGCGGAGAAAUUCCAAUCGAACUUGGAGAUAGCUGGUUCUCUCCGAAAUAGCUUUAGGGCUAGCCUCGAGGUAAAGAGUCAUGGAGGUAGAGCACUGUUUGGACUAGGGGCCCUUCUCGGGUUACCGAAUUCAGAUAAACUCCGAAUGCCAUGUACUUAUACUCGGGAGUCAGACUGCGAGUGAUAAGAUCCGUAGUCGAAAGGGAAACAGCCCAGACCACCAGUUAAGGUCCCCAAAUAUAUGUUAAGUGGAAAAGGAUGUGGGGUUGCUUAGACAACCAGGAUGUUGGCUUAGAAGCAGCCACCAUUGAAAGAGUGCGUAAUAGCUCACUGGUCGAGUGACCCCGCGCCGAAAAUGUACCGGGGCUAAACAUAUUACCGAAACUGUGGAUGAACCUCUUUAGAGGUUCGUGGUAGGAGAGCGUUCUAAGGGCGGUGAAGUCAGACCGGAAGGACUGGUGGAGCGCUUAGAAGUGAGAAUGCCGGUAUGAGUAGCGAAAGAAGGGUGAGAAUCCCUUCCACCGAAUAUCUAAGGUUUCCUGAGGAAGGCUCGUCCGCUCAGGGUUAGUCGGGACCUAAGCCGAGGCCGAUAGGCGUAGGCGAUGGACAACA